GUCCACGCCGUAAACGAUGAUAACUAGCUGUCCGGGUUCAUGGAAUUUGGGUGGCGCAGCUAACGCAUUAAGUUAUCCGCCUGGGGAGUACGGUCGCAAGAUUAAAACUCAAAGGAAUUGACGGGGGCCUGCACAAGCGGUGGAGCAUGUGGUUUAAUUCGAAGCAACGCGCAGAACCUUACCAGCGUUUGACAUCCCGCGCUACAACCAGAGAUGGUUGGUUCCCUUCGGGGACGCGGUGACAGGUGCUGCAUGGCUGUCGU
This 263-nucleotide ribosomal RNA is filed under the name uncultured bacterium. RNAcentral describes it as "partial 16S ribosomal RNA". It matches the Rfam family "Bacterial small subunit ribosomal RNA", at positions 793 to 1055 of the family's 1533-position model. The record is from RNAcentral.